This is a long non-coding RNA of Capsicum annuum, 814 nucleotides long. RefSeq lists it as uncharacterized. The transcript is spliced from 4 exons. Lineage: Eukaryota; Viridiplantae; Streptophyta; Magnoliopsida; Solanales; Solanaceae. The record is from RefSeq and is a predicted model, not a curated record.
AGUCAGAAAGUCAGAACUGUAUCCAACCUUUAAGUUUAAUCAAAAAGAAAAGCUAAACUAGUUUUAUCAGAAAGUACAUUCAUUCACAACCUACCACCAGUUCCUAGUUUUAGGUUUUGUAUCUACUUUUGCCUCUUCUCACAUGGAAGAAAUCAUCUCUUACUGAUCUAUGGUAUAAUAGCUUGCAAAUUAUUUGUAAAAAUAAUUGUCCAUUUGAACUUGAACUUCUGCACUUACUGGACCACAAUUUAUUGUUGCUGAUAAACGACAAUCACAAGGCGACAAUAUGCACAUCAACCUCUGGUGAACAACAUAUAUCAACCGGCAUGAUGCCUUGAAUUGAUUCAAAAGAAAAUUAAGGCUUCAUCAAUCCUAAAGAAGUUUGGCACAUGGUAUCUUGAAAGUUGAUUCGACCAAGUCCUCAACUGAAAGAAGAGAGCGAGCUACUGUGGAUGAAGAUGGUCCUUGUGUUGCUAGUGUUGCUGGAAGUAGAUGAUGAGGUGCUAGACCGAAAGAUGUGCGGAAGUUGACAAGCGAGCUUAGCUUUUGUGUUGAUAUUUUGUUUGUUUGUUAAUUAAGACUAAGAUUAGUUGGCCUUAAUCUAUUCCAGUUGCUUACUUUUUUUUUUUUGUGCAUUUUCAAAUAGAGGUACUACUUUUAACGUAUUUGAGGCUGCUAAAAGUUUUACUCAGGCUUUUUUACUAUUAAAUUCGUUACUGUGAAUGCCACUAUUUUGUAUUGUACAGUGUAUAACCAAUAUCAAUAAACACGUGAAUGGGAUGAUAAGGAGAGUUGUGGAGUUAUUUGAUGUCAA